UCUUCCCCUUCUUCUUCACCCCCCCAACUCUUUUCCUCUUUUCCCCUUCUCCACCCAAAAACCCUAGCGUCCUCCUCCUCCUCCUCCUCUCUCUCAUCCUCUCCACCCCCUCCUCGUCCAUGGCGCAGAGCAACAACAGCGCCAUCCCCAUCACCGAGCAGUUCUGGUCCCUUGUCGACAAGGCCGAUCGCCGCUUCUCCCGCGUCCGCGAUCGCCCCUCCCAUGACCGCAAUCGGGACGACGGGGACUUCCACAAGGCGUUCAAGCUCUACACGCGGCUGUGGAAGGCGUGGCGCUCACCGAGGCCGGGAUGCGGCGGUGGGAGGUGGGCGAGAUCGCGUACCGCAUCGCCCAGCUCUACUACGGCCAGUACUGCCGCACCAGCGACUCCUCCUACCUCGCCGAGGCCUUCGUCUUCUACGAGGCGGUCCUCGACCGCGAGUACCUCCGCGACGCCCCCUCCGCCGCCGCCGCCGCCGCAGCCUCCGAGGUCGCCCUCGCGCAUAAGCAGCUCCGUCUCCUCGUAAGGUUCCUCAACGUUUCGCUCAUCCUCGGGCGCCGCGAGAUGGUCUUGCGGCUCGCAUUGCUCCUCCGGAUUGUCCUCGAGGAGCACAGGCGGAGUUUUCAGGUAGAAUGAGAGCGUGAAAAACAUCACCUUGUAAUUUACGAAUCACUUUAGGAAAGGGGUAUUGCUAUUUACCUUUUACGAAUAGUUACAAUUUCUUGCAAGAAGAUCCAGAAUCAUUUAGAUUGUUUCAGCAAAGGAUGCUAUUUUUGCCCUUGCGCAGUCAGGAUUAUGUGCUGCUUUUUGUCGAACAACAAACAAGCGGUUAUGUUUCUUGAAUAUUAGCCCGGAUGAAGUGAUUAGAUGCCUUUUCUAUAACAAGAACAACGAUUCACUUAUUACAGUCUCAGUUUAUGCUUCGGACAACUUCAGUUCUUUAAAGUGCAGGACAACUCCAAUAGAGUCUAUCAAGAGGAAUAGAUUUGUUGCUGCAAUUCUAAUGGGACUAAACCGUGAUUCUACAAGUAAAAUCGAUUUCAUAUUAUCUGUUCACGGUAGCUUAACAUCAAGCAGUUGAAUAUCUAUCUUGGAAUAUGUCUUUUCUUGGUUUUCUUAGCUUGAUUAUAGUAAUAUUUAGUUAGUUGGCAUUUGGUGAUAUUGUUGUCCUGCUACAAUCAUUUUUCUGCUUCUGGGAUGAUAGUUUUAGAAUUAUGGUUCGUCUAUUUUGCAGGCAUUCAAAGAAUAGAAAAAAAUUGUGUAUCUAGAAAAUAUGCCUGUCAGGUACUUUAUUAUGCAUGCAGGCUUGUAGAUUGUUUAAUUUAUAUAAUUUAUUUUUUUUCUUUUGUUUGUUGCAGGAAAUGAAUUACUGUUAAAAUAGGAGCUGAAGCAUUUUUCUUUUAUCAUUUUUUAAGUAUUUUCUAUUUUCAAAGUUGAGAGAGUAAGGAAUAAUGUUGAACUGUAUAUCGAAUAUUAUACUCUAUUGCCUUUAAAUUGAUUUUGCUAUUAUUUUGUUUUUAA
Molecule: RNA transcript, 1522 nt
Organism: Ananas comosus (pineapple)
Lineage: Eukaryota; Viridiplantae; Streptophyta; Magnoliopsida; Poales; Bromeliaceae
Gene name: protein SCAI-like
Exons: 6
Source: RefSeq, a predicted model, not a curated record